This 82-nucleotide transfer RNA is filed under the name Dermacentor andersoni. RNAcentral's name for it is "transfer RNA serine (anticodon GCU)". It matches the Rfam family "tRNA". From Rfam's summary of the family: Transfer RNA (tRNA) molecules are approximately 80 nucleotides in length. The record is from RNAcentral. Lineage: Eukaryota; Metazoa; Arthropoda; Arachnida; Ixodida; Ixodidae.
GGCGAGGUGGCUGAGUGGUUAAGGCGAUGGACUGCUACUCCAUUGGGCUCUGCCCGCGUGGGUUCGAGUCCCACCCUCGUCG